AGAAAAUCAGGAGGGCUGUUUGAAAAGAUGAACUGCGCGUAAUAUAAUAUUUAUAUCGCUUGAAAACUAUAUAUAUGAUGAUGCUUUAAUAUAUCAAGACGCACGAGAUUUUUAAUCAUUAUGAGCAAAGAACCUCAAGCCUGUUUCAGUUCAAAUAAUGGCUGGAGAACUUUCAUGUGGUUUGAGGGGCCAAUCCUUCUACCUGCAUGAUGUGAAGAGACAUCAUCAGCCGUCUGGGAGGGAAAGUGGACAGUUUUCUCACCAAGGAUGUGAAUGUGAUUUUGUCGGGCGUUAAAGAACCUCAUAGUGCUUUGCAGGUGGAUGGUUCAUGUACUGCAGGGGGAAACAAAGUGGAACCCCCAGAACUUUGGAAGUUCAGACCAUUCUGCACAGUUUCCCAGCGAUGAGUUUCUGAGGGAAAUUUGGCCCUUUUGAGCCCCUCAUUCCUCGGCAAUCUGGUAGAAGCAAGGAUGUAGAUUCCAGCAAGGACAAUUUCAGGAAGAAAGAAGCCACUAGCAGCUGCUGUAAGAUGCAAGCACCACUUACUGCAAGCACACACACAGAGGCCUAACUGAGAAAAGUUCAGGCUAUUGUGAGUGCUGCCACAUGGUCUACAAAGACCAGUAAGAACACUUGCUGUCUGAAAUGCAUCAUUCUUUCAUUCAAAAUGACAGUAACUAUGCUGUAGUAGACCAACUAAUGGCUGCCAUGGUUGCUAGCUUUGUUUGUAAUCCAAAUCUAGAAGUGGAUCCAACACUGAUCAAGUCAUCGACAGGCUUCUUUCAAUUACAGUUGUGUAAUUUAACUGAGAAUACUGUCAGCGAGAAUGAAAAAUCUCUUCAGACUCCACUGGUUCAAGAAUGUGAUCGUCUACUGGCGAUUACUGACAACAGAGGAAACCUCUUUCCUACACGUAUCCUGGUCAACAAAAUGCAACCUCACACCCUACAAUACAAAAUAACUCUCCUGAUCCUCUUGGCAAUGUCAAAUUAGGCCUUUACAUCAGCUGCACCACAAAUGUUCAGGACUUUCGAUCUGGAGUUCUCUGCAUGGAUAUAGUACCACAUCACAUUCCCCCGAAAUCCCAGCCAAUAAAGAAGAAACCCAAAAGCCUCUCUUCUGUCAUACUUUCAGAAGCUACAUCUAAAAUGCUCACUCUAAGCUCUUCCGGAGAUAACAAAAUCCCAUGCAUCAUUUCUGGUGUUAAAAAUGUUCCUGAAUCUCAGGAACGAUGUGAAGGUGGUCAUGAUCUACAUGUGCUGCAUUUGCGAAGGGGUCUUAUAGGUGGUAUUCCUAACACGGUCAACUCUCGAAAUCAAAAACAUGAUUGGGAUCACGGUUUAAAAAUGUGCUUAAAAAGCCCUAAGAUGCUACUCCAGCAAGGUGAAGAUGAUAAUUCUGAAGGUUGUGGCCAGUAUGUGUUGGACCAUAAAAAGUUGCCUUCAACAAAACAGUCACUGAAAUCAGCCCAAUAUAUUUUUUGGACUCCAGAGUUAGGCAUCUCUUACCUUUCAUUACCACAUAUUUUACCAUUUCCACACUUGUCAGAUUACCCAUUUUCUAUAGUUAGCUUUAAAAAGCACUUCUGGUCCUUCACUCCAAGUCCAAAACUUGCCAAGAGAAGAAAGAUUAAUCAAAGUGAAAAGCAAAACCCAAUUCAGGGGGCUUGCAGUGCUUCCUGGAUAAGACAAUACUCAUAUUUUACUUUCCACCAUGCCAUGUUUACUGGUCUCCAAGGUGGGUUUUACAACAGAGAUGAAUAAACAAACUGUAGAUAGCAUACUAGCAACCAAUGAAUCAUCACUGAAUGAGUCAUCUCUUGUGAAUCAGAUCCCAACUCAGCCUUCCCUAAAAUAUUUUACUUGCAGUACCCACUGUUUGCCACAUCAAGUUGACCAACAGGACAAUGCUGCAAAUCAACCCUGUGUCCAUGUAAAGCAGUCACAUGAAUUGUCUCCAAUCAAAAAUCCAGUGGAAUUCCAAAUAACCACUUACUCAUCUGAUUUGGACCCUCCUCAGUUGGUUCCAUUUUUCCAUGAAGACCAUCAACUCCAGCACCAUCAGUUUCAUGAUCCUCCAGAACUGUUACCCUUUUUUAACCAUACACUGGAAAAUACUUUCUAUACAUCAGUCAGUAAAGCCUCAAACAGCUCAUUCCUGUCACACUCCGGAGCCUUCGUUUUGCAUUGAAUCUCCUCUCCUCCCUAAUCUCAUGUGGUCCACGGCCUCUUCUGAGUCAGAUUGGGAUUCCGGCCUGUUUUCAUGGUUUGCGGCUGGAGUUCCUCUUCAGAAUAAAGGGGCACAUGAUGACCUGGGUCUGUUAUUAAAAAAACCACACACUGGCAUGCAGGAUGGGAGCUAUACAUCACAAUUGUGCUCCAUACUGCAACCCUCUUGAUUCACAUCGUUGGGAUUGAAGGUGCAACAAUCCAACAAUUGCGACUGUUGAUGAAUUCAAUCCUAAAGCAUUUCUUCAUUCUCCAUUCUUAGUAGUCCUCAUUUUUCACCUCUACAAUUAAAUUGACUACCACCAUUAUUUGUGAAAUAAGACUAAUGAAUAAUGAAUGAAUUGUUUGUUUUUCUUAAAGAAGAUUUUAGCCUAACUCUGCGGCUAAUGUAUAAAUAAAUUCCUCUUUUUCACAUAUGUUCUUUUCAUGAGGACUGCUCAAAACUAUUUUUUUUUUCUUCUGGAUAAUAAAACCAUCUUGUCUUACAUCAAUAUUGCUUUAUACAUUUUUUGUUAAAAAUAUUGAACAGUGUUUGUCUCUCAGUAUGCAAUAUCUCACCAAAACCAAAGAAAACAAUUAGUUUUAAUUAACAGCUGGCAAGUAUUUCAUGCUUUUCUCUUUGAGUGACCUCCAUGACUUCUCUUAUGGCUCUGUCUUGCCCUGAGUGUUGACCAUGACUUUUCAGUGGAAAUAUCCAGGAACAUGUGCUGGUAUUGAGAAUUUAAUGAGGCUUUCCUGGAGGGGCAUUAUCGAAUUAGUUUAAGUGCUGUAUCUGGCCUCUCUCCAGUUUAGAGGCAGUGUUGAUGGUAGAACAAUGCCAUGGUGUUUUUUUGAGAACAUGCAGGAUAGGAACACUCUGAAGGCAAAAAUCAUUUUUAAAAGACAUUUCAGAUUUCCUGUAAAUGUGCAUCUGUUGAUGUGGUGGCAUGACUGGUACAGUGGGGAGUGUUUUAAUUAUUUAAUAUCAAUUAAUGUUUUAAGGCAUCUUUUAGUGACAGAACAUUCCUAUUACAGAAGUUCUGAAAGGAGUAUAGCUUGUACCACUGAUGUCCAUGUAUUAAUGUAGAAUUUUCCAUAAACACCGGAAAUUAGCUUUAUGAAGGCCUAAGGACAGUUAUACAUGUUUCUAAAACAAAAUCCUGAAUAAAUGUAG
Cyprinus carpio carpio is the source of this 3381-nucleotide long non-coding RNA. The record is from Ensembl. NCBI's taxonomy places the organism in Eukaryota, Metazoa, Chordata, Actinopteri, Cypriniformes, Cyprinidae.